Molecule: ribosomal RNA, 253 nt
Filed under: uncultured bacterium
Lineage: Bacteria
Description: partial 16S ribosomal RNA
Rfam family: Bacterial small subunit ribosomal RNA
Source: RNAcentral
UACGGGGGGGGCAAGCGUUGCUCGGAAUCACUGGGCGUAAAGGGUGCGUAGACGGGUCUUUAAGUCAGGGGUGAAAUCCUGGAGCUCAACUCCAGAACUGCCUUUGAUACUGAGGAUCUUGAGUUCGGGAGAGGUGAGUGGAACUGCGAGUGUAGAGGUGAAAUUCGUAGAUAUUCGCAAGAACACCAGUGGCGAAGGCGGCUCACUGGCCCGAUACUGACGCUGAGGCACGAAAGCGUGGGGAGCAAACAGG